GACGAACGCUGGCGGCGUGCUUAACACAUGCAAGUCGAACGGUGAACUCCGCUUGCGGGGGGAUCAGUGGCGAACGGGUGAGUAACACGUGGGCAACCUGCCCUCAGCUCUGGGAUAACUCCAAGAAAUUGGGGCUAAUACCGGAUAUGACCGCUGACCGCAUGGUCUGGUGGUGGAAAGAUUUAUCGGCUGGGGCUGGGCCCGCGGCCUAUCAGCUUGUUGGUGGGGUAGUGGCCUACCAAGGCGACGACGGGUAGCCGGCCUGAGAGGGUGACCGGCCACACUGGGACUGAGACACGGCCCAGACUCCUACGGGAGGCAGCAGUGGGGAAUAUUGCGCAAUGGGCGAAAGCCUGACGCAGCGACGCCGCGUGGGGGAUGACGGCCUUCGGGUUGUAAACCUCUUUCAGCAGGGACGAAGCGAAAGUGACGGUACCUGCAGAAGAAGCACCGGCCAACUACGUG
This 465-nucleotide ribosomal RNA is filed under the name uncultured bacterium. RNAcentral's name for it is "partial 16S ribosomal RNA". It matches the Rfam family "Bacterial small subunit ribosomal RNA", at positions 28 to 507 of the family's 1533-position model. The record is from RNAcentral.